GGAGGGAGCUGGGAACAUUGCUGCUGCCACUGGUUUUGUCAAGAAGGACCAGAUGGGCAAGGGCUAUCCCAUGGGAGAGUGCACAAACCAUCCGCCCAGACUCAUUGCUCUUCGAGUCAAGAGUCGUUACAGAGAGCACAGCUGGAGACCCAGAAAACAGCUUUCCCUGGCAUGUGUGGUUAUGGAUCCUUUCUUACCUACUUAGAAGACAUUACCGUACUUACGGAGCCUGUAAAGAGAGACUAAGAUACUUCCUGAUGUUUCAAAGCGUUUAGAUUGUACAGAUUAUAAAAACUGGAGGAGGAAACGAUGCCAUCCCACUUCACCUUAGUUUACCAGUUGUUCUUGUUACAUUAAAUGGAACAUUUUUCAAACGCU
RNAcentral lists this long non-coding RNA (378 nucleotides) under Rattus norvegicus (Norway rat). RNAcentral describes it as "long non-coding RNA NONRATT021464". Lineage: Eukaryota; Metazoa; Chordata; Mammalia; Rodentia; Muridae. The record is from RNAcentral.